GCCAGGCAUGGUGGCACACGCCUGUCAUCCCAGCUGCUCGGGAGGCUGAGGCAGGAGGAUCAUGAGUUCAAAGCCAGCCUCAGCAACUUAGUGAGACCCUGUCUCUA
This 107-nucleotide small RNA is filed under the name Marmota monax (woodchuck). Lineage: Eukaryota; Metazoa; Chordata; Mammalia; Rodentia; Sciuridae. The record is from RNAcentral.